UGAUUCUAAGGCCAACGGGAGAAGGGUUGUUAAGGAACUCGGCAAGUUGACCCCGUAACUUCGGAAUAAGGGGUGCUCAUGAAAGUGAGCCGCAGAGAAUAGGCCCAGGCAACUGUUUACCAAAAACACAGGUUUGUGCUAAAUCGAAAGAUGACGUAUACGAGCUGACGCCUGCCCGGUGCUGGAAGGUUAAAAGGAGAUGUGCAAGCAUUGAAUUGAAGCCCCAGUGAACGGCGGCCGUAACAAUAACGGUCCUAAGGUAGCGAAAUUCCUUGUCAGGUAAGUUCUGACCCGCAUGAAAGGCGUAAUGAUCUGGGCACUGUCUCAACAGCCCGCCCGGCGAAAUUGUAGUACCGGUGAAGAUGCCGGUUACCCGCGACAAGACGGAAAGACCCCAUGGAGCUUUACUGUAGCCUAAUAUUGGGUUUCGGUGUUGCAUGCACAGGAUAGAUGGGACGCUGGGAAGUGAGUGCUUUGGCAUUCAUGGAGCGGCCGUUGGGAUACCAUCCUUGCGACAUUGGAAUUCUAACCUGCGCCUUUGAAUCAAGGCGGGGGACAUUGUUAGGUGGGCAGUUUGACUGGGGCGGUCGCCUCCUAAAGAGUAGCGGAGGCGUUCAAAGGUUGGCUCGUCCUGGACGGAAACCAGGAGAGAGAGUGCAAACGCAAAAGCCAGCCUGACUGCGAGACUGACGGGUCGAGCAGAGACGAAAGUCGGAGUUAGUGAUCCGGUGGUAUGUGAGUGGAAAUGCCAUCGCUCAACGGAUAAAAGUUACCCCUGGGAUAACAGGCUGAUCUCCCCCAAGAGUCCACAUCGACGGGGAGGUUUGGCACCUCGAUGUCGGCUCAUCGCAUCCUGGGGCUGUAUUCGGUCCCAAGGGUUUGGCUGUUCGCCAAUUAAAGCGGUACGCGAGCUGGGUUCAGAACGUCGUGAGACAGUUCGGUCCCUAUCUGUCGUGGGCGCAGGAUAUUUGAAAGGCGCUGUCCCUAGUACGAGAGGACCGGGAUGGACGAACCUCUGGUGCACCAGUUGUCACGCCAGUGGCACAGCUGGGCAGCUAUGUUCGGAUCGGAUAAACGCUGAAAGCAUCUAAGCGUGAAGCCGGCCUUAAGAUAAGAUAUCCCACUGAGAUAAUCAGGUAAGACCCCUUGAAGACUACAAGGUUGAUAGGCACAAUGUGUAAGUGGCGCGAGUCAUUGAGCAAGCGUGUACUAAUAGGUCGAGGGCUUGAUC
RNAcentral lists this ribosomal RNA (1231 nucleotides) under metagenome. Its description in RNAcentral is "bacterial LSU rRNA". It matches the Rfam family "Bacterial large subunit ribosomal RNA", at positions 1676 to 2925 of the family's 2925-position model. The record is from RNAcentral.